GACGAACGCUGGCGGCGCGCUUAACACAUGCAAGUCGAACGGAAAGGCCUGCUUUCCCUUGUGGAUUGCGGGUACUCGAGUGGCGAACGGGUGAGUAACACGUGAGUGAUCUGCCCCCAACUUGGCUAUAAGCCUGGGAAACUGGGUCUAAUUCCCGAUAGGACUGCAGGGUGGUGCCUGUGGUGGAAAACGAUUUUCUAGUGGUUGGGGAUGAGCUCGCGGCCUAUCAGCUUGUUGGUGGGGUAAUGGCCUACCAAGGCGGCGACGGGUAGCCGGCCUGGGAGGGUGGACGGCCACAUUGGGACUGAGAUACGGCCCAGACUCCUACGGGAGGCAGCAGUGGGGAAUAUUGCACGAUGGGCGGAAGCCUGAGGCAGCGACGCCGCGUGGGGGAUGACGGCCUUCGGGUUGUAAACUCCUUUCGACCGCGAGGAAGCCACCUGGUUGGAAGGGUGGUGACGGUAGUGGUAGAAGAAGCACCGGCUAACUACGUG
Molecule: ribosomal RNA, 494 nt
Filed under: uncultured bacterium
Lineage: Bacteria
Description: partial 16S ribosomal RNA
Rfam family: Bacterial small subunit ribosomal RNA
Source: RNAcentral